CUUGAAGCUGCCUGAGAACCUCAGAGUGACUAAGAUAUCAAGAUUAAUAUAUACAAAUUCUGGUAAUGCCGUCUUAGCAUUAGCAUCAAAUGCUAUUCACUUGCUUUGGAAGUGGCAAAGGAAUGAACGCAAUACAAGUGGCAAGGCAACAGCCAGUGUUUCACCUCAAUUGUGGCAACCUUCAAGUGGCAUAUUAAUGACAAAUGAUGUGCAUGAACCAAACCAUGAGGAAGCUGUCUCCUGCUUUGCCUUGUCCAAGAAUGACUCGUAUGUGAUGUCAGCAUCUGGUGGAAAGAUAUCCUUGUUCAACAUGAUGACAUUCAAGACAAUGACAACUUUCAUGCCUCCACCUCCAGCAGCAACUUAUAUUGUUUUCCUUCCUCAAGAUAACAACAUUAUCGCUAUUGGCAUGGAUGAUUCUACCAUCCAGAUAUAUAAUGUCCGAGUGGAUGAGGUUAAAAGCAAGCUUAAAGGCCACUCUAAAAGGAUAACUGGCCUCGCCUUUUCUCAUGUGCUCAAUGUGCUAGUUUCAUCAGGAGCUGAUUCUCAGCUGUGUGUGUGGAGCACUGAUGGAUGGGAAAAGCAGAGGGCUAGGACCUUGCAGCUACCGGGUAGAUCGACAUCUCAAUCAGAUACCAGAGUGCAGUUUCAUCAGGAUCAAACUCAUUUCCUGGCUGUGCAUGAGGCACAGAUUGCUAUAUUUGAAACAACAAAGCUGGAAUGUUUAAAGCAGUGGGUUCCACGUGAGAGUGCUGCCCCAAUUUCUCAUGCCACAUUCUCGUGUGAUAGCCAGCUGAUAUAUGCCAGUUUCUUGGAUGCAACUGUGUGCGUAUUCACUGCAGGGCACCUCCAUAUGCGAUGCCGCAUUAUUCCUUCAGCUUAUCUAUCACCCAGUAUUAGCAAUUCAAACAUCCA
Molecule: unclassified non-coding RNA, 915 nt
Filed under: Hevea brasiliensis (rubber tree)
Lineage: Eukaryota; Viridiplantae; Streptophyta; Magnoliopsida; Malpighiales; Euphorbiaceae
Source: RNAcentral